RNAcentral lists this ribosomal RNA (796 nucleotides) under uncultured bacterium. RNAcentral's name for it is "bacterial SSU rRNA". It matches the Rfam family "Bacterial small subunit ribosomal RNA", at positions 1 to 810 of the family's 1533-position model. The record is from RNAcentral.
GCGCCCUUAGAGUUUGAUCCUGGCUCAAGAGGACCUUUGGCGGCGCGCCUAACACAUGCAAGUCGAACGGAGCUUAGAGAGCUUGCUUUUUAAGCUUAGUGGCGAACGGGUGAGUAACGCGUGAGUAACCUGCCCUAGAGUGGGGGACAACAGUUGGAAACGACUGCUAAUACCGCAUAAGCCCACGGUACCGCAUGGUACUGAGGGAAAAGGAUUUAUUCGCUUUGGAUGGACUCGCGUCCAAUUAGCUAGUUGGUGAGGUAACGGCCCACCAAGGCGACGAUUGGUAGCCGGACUGAGAGGUUGAACGGCCACAUUGGGACUGAGACACGGCCCAGACUCCUACGGGAGGCAGCAGUGGGGGAUAUUGCACAAUGGGGGAAACUUUGUUUCACCGACGCCGCGUGGAAAAAGAAGGUUUUCGGAUUGUAAACUCCUGUCGUUAGGGCGGAUAAUGACGGUACUUACCAAGAAAGCACCGGCUAACUACGUGCCAGCAGCCGCGGUAAAACGUAGGGUGCAAGCGUUGUCCGGAAUUACUGGGUGUAAAGGGAGCGCAGGCGGGAAGACAAGUUGGAAGUGAAAACCAUGGGCUCAACCCAUGAAUUGCUUUCAAAACUGUUUUUCUUGAGUAGUGCAGAGGUAGAUGGAAUUCCCGGUGUAGCGGUGGAAUGCGUAGAUAUCGGGAGGAACACCAGUGGCGAAGGCGGUCUACUGGGCACCAACUGACGCUGAGGCUCGAAAGCAUGGGUAGCAAACAGGAUUACAUACCCUGGUAGUCCAUGCCGUAAACGAU